GGAAUAUUGGGCAAUGGAGGCAACUCUGACCCAGCCAUGCCGCGUGCAGGAAGACGGUCCUAUGGACUGUAAACUGCUUUUAUACAGGAAGAAACCUCCCUACGUGUAGGGACUUGACGGUACUGUAGGAAUAAGGAUCGGAUAACUCAGUGCCAGCAGCCGCGGUAAUACGGAGGAUCCAAGCGUUCUCCGGAAUCAUUGGGUUUAACGGGUCCGUAGGCGGCCUUAUAAGUCAGUGGUGAAAUCUCCUAGCUCAACUAGGAAACUGCCAUUGAUACUGUAGGGCUUGAAUUUUGGUGAAGUAACUAGAAUAUGUAGUGUAGCGGUGAAAUGCUUAGAUAUUACAUGGAAUACCAAUUGCGAAGGCAGGUUACUAACCAACGAUUGACGCUGAUGGACGAAAGCGUGGGGAGCGAAC
Molecule: ribosomal RNA, 418 nt
Filed under: uncultured bacterium
Lineage: Bacteria
Description: bacterial SSU rRNA
Rfam family: Bacterial small subunit ribosomal RNA
Source: RNAcentral